CCUACGGGAGGCAGCAGUAGGGAAUUUUCGUCAAUGGGCGCAAGCCUGAACGAGCGAUGCCGCGUGAGUGAAGAAGGCCUUCGGGUCGUAAAGCUCUGUUGCGGGGGAAAAAAGGCAGCAUCAGGAAAUGGGUGCUGACUGAUGGUGCCCCGCCAGAAAGUCACGGCUAACUACGUGCCAGCAGCCGCGGUAAUACGUAGGUGGCGAGCGUUAUCCGGAAGGAUUGGGCGUAAAGGGUGCGCAGGCGGGCCUGCAAGUCUGGAGUGAAACGCAUGAGCUCAACUCAUGCAUGGCUUUGGAAACUGGAGGACUGGAGAGCAGGAGAGGGCGGUGGAACUCCAUGUGUAGCGGUAAAAUGCGUAGAUAUAUGGAAGAACACCAGUGGCGAAGGCGGCCGCCUGGCCUGUUGCUGACGCUGAGGCACGAAAGCGUGGGGAGCAAAUAGGAUUAGAUACCCCAGUAGUC
RNAcentral lists this ribosomal RNA (465 nucleotides) under uncultured bacterium. RNAcentral describes it as "partial 16S ribosomal RNA". It matches the Rfam family "Bacterial small subunit ribosomal RNA", at positions 338 to 795 of the family's 1533-position model. The record is from RNAcentral.